GCUUCAUCCUCACGACGGGUCCGACUCCGACCCUGCUCCCCGCCCACAAACGGCCGCGGGCACCCGCACGUCCGGCACAACGUCACAGAGCAGCGGGGAGGCGCGUUCCCGAUCCAGCGGCGAUGGGGAGGGAGUUGCAGGGUUGUGCUGGUGGAGGGAUAAGAGUUGACGGUCCAGACAGGGUGGAGCACGUGGGGCCCGAGCGAUUGUAAAGGAAUGACUGAAACUGUACUGCUACAAACCGUGCUCCAUUGUCACGGAGUAAGGGUUCUGGAACACCAGCUCUUGAGAAGAGCUUUCUCAGCACAUCAGCAGUGUGUAAGGCUGCAGGGGAGGUCAAGGGGAACAUUUCAGGCCACUUUCUAGUUGUAUCCACUACUACCAAGAAAUUUGUGGCCAUGAAUGUUCUGGCAAAAUCAGCAUUAAUAUUCUGCCAGGGCAAAGUCGGCCAUUCCCAGGGACGGAGAGGAGAGGCUCUGCUCUCAGCAUCUUCUGUACAUGAUAGUAUCCCAAAGAGUAAGGGAACGUGAUAUAGAGUGUUCGCCUCUAUUAUUCCAAACAUGUGAUAUGACUGCACAGGCAAGCUUCACUGGAUGAUGUGGGUCAUAAUGUGUACUACAGUGUCUGAGGUCACAAUUUCCUUUGCCUUUUGGAAAGGUACGUCACAUCGCUUUGGCCAUUGCCAUUUCUUCCUGAUCUGUAGUAAUGAGCUUAAGGGGUGGAGCAUUAGUCAGGUUUGGCAGCAACCUGUCAUAGUAAUUGACAAUAUCUUAAAAAGGUCCACAACUGUGAUUCAACUUUUUGCCCUAAAAAAGACAUGGUGCAUCUAGAGACCAAAGAUGCCUGCAUUAGGAUGCUCUUUUUCAAUUUCAGCUCGGCAUUCAUUACCAUCAUCCCCUCAGAACUAAUCAUUAAGUUUCAAGACCCUGCCCUCAAUACUUCCUUCUGCAAUUAGAUCCUUGAUUUCUUUGCUUGCAGAUGCCUAUCAGUUUGGAUUGGCAAAAACAACUCCUCCACAAUCUCCAUUAGCACAGUGGAGAGUAUAUUGACUGGCAACAUCACAACCUGAUAGGGAAACAUCAAUUCCCUUGAAUGAAAAGUCCCAAACAAAAGUAAUUGAUCGAUCUCAAUCCAUCAUGGGUAAAGCUCUCCCUACUAUUGAGCACACUUUGUUACAUUUUCUGCAAGUUUUGCCUUUAAACUGGCAUUGGUCUGGUGCAUGUGAGCCCCUGCCAUAAUGGUAAUGCAAUUUAUUCAGUUGGGUAGGUUUCUGUUUAGACAUUACAAUUUUGUUCAUGCUCAUUUUUAUUCCUGACUGCAUCUCUGGCUGAUAUGUCUGAUAUUCCAUUGAUAUGUCAAUAUGAACUGCACUUUUAAAUGUGAGUUGUGCUUCAGUUUGGAGACAUUUUUGAAUGCUUUCUUGUAAAACUCCACAAACUAAGUGAUCUUUCAGUGCAUA
This is a long non-coding RNA of Hypanus sabinus (Atlantic stingray), 1459 nucleotides long. RefSeq lists it as uncharacterized. The record is from RefSeq and is a predicted model, not a curated record. The transcript is spliced from 3 exons. Lineage: Eukaryota; Metazoa; Chordata; Chondrichthyes; Myliobatiformes; Dasyatidae.